This 700-nucleotide ribosomal RNA is filed under the name uncultured bacterium. RNAcentral describes it as "bacterial SSU rRNA". It matches the Rfam family "Bacterial small subunit ribosomal RNA", at positions 8 to 703 of the family's 1533-position model. The record is from RNAcentral.
AGAGUUUGAUCAUGGCUCAGAUUGAACGCUGGCGGCAUGCCUUACACAUGCAAGUCGAACGGCAGCACGGGGGCAACCCUGGUGGCGAGUGGCGAACGGGUGAGUAAUACAUCGGAACGUGCCCAGUAGUGGGGGAUAGCUCGGCGAAAGCCGGAUUAAUACCGCAUACGACCUACGGGUGAAAGCGGGGGAUCGCAAGACCUCGCGCUAUUGGAGCGGCCGAUGUCAGAUUAGGUUGUUGGUGGGGUAAAGGCCUACCAAGCCGACGAUCUGUAGCUGGUCUGAGAGGACGACCAGCCACACUGGGACUGAGACACGGCCCAGACUCCUACGGGAGGCAGCAGUGGGGAAUUUUGGACAAUGGGCGAAAGCCUGAUCCAGCCAUGCCGCGUGCGGGAAGAAGGCCUUCGGGUUGUAAACCGCUUUUGUCAGGGAAGAAAUCUUUCGAGCUAAUACCUUGAGAGGAUGACGGUACCUGAAGAAUAAGCACCGGCUAACUACGUGCCAGCAGCCGCGGUAAUACGUAGGGUGCAAGCGUUAAUCGGAAUUACUGGGCGUAAAGCGUGCGCAGGCGGUUGUGCAAGACAGGUGUGAAAUCCCCGGGCUUAACCUGGGAACUGCACUUGUGACUGCACGGCUGGAGUACGGCAGAGGGGGAUGGAAUUCCGCGUGUAGCAGUGAAAUGCGUAGAUAUGCGGAG